UAAGGAAUAUUGGACAAUGGAGGCAACUCUGAUCCAGCCAUCCCGCGUGCAGGAAUAAUGCCCUAUGGGUUGUAAACUGCUUUAGCUAGGGAAUAAAUCUUGUGAUUUAUCAUAAGUUGAAGGUACCUAGAGAAUAAGCACCGGCUAACUCCGUGCCAGCAGCCGCGGUAAUACGGAGGGUGCAAGCGUUAUCCGGAUUUACUGGGUUUAAAGGGUGCGUAGGCGGAUUUUUAAGUCAGAUGUGAAAGCUUGCAGCUUAACUGUAAGAUUGCGUUUGAUACUGGAAGUCUUGAAUAUGGUGGAAGUAGGCGGAACGAAUCAUGUAGCGGUGAAAUGCAUAGAUAUGAUUCGGAACACCGAUUGCGAAGGCAGCUUGCUAUACCAUUAUUGACGCUGAGGC
This 400-nucleotide ribosomal RNA is filed under the name uncultured bacterium. RNAcentral describes it as "bacterial SSU rRNA". It matches the Rfam family "Bacterial small subunit ribosomal RNA", at positions 355 to 752 of the family's 1533-position model. The record is from RNAcentral.